GGGGAUAACAGGGGAAUAGAAUGGUGGUCUAUAGCUGUUGAGGUUCUCCCUAAAUAGUAUGGAAAUAAUUUUAUUGAGAAUUUUAGAUAAGUGUGUCGUAUUGUAUACGUCAUUUGAUAUUUAAUUUUGGUGAACCGAAUAGGGUGAGGUGAACCCAACUUUGGAAGGGUGUUUUGCCACUAUCAUACAAGAUGUCUAAUGACAUAAAAUCUCGUGUUAUCAUAAGACAGGAUUGUGCACAUCAACUUGCUGAGUAUAUCUACGAGCACUACUUAUAUGAUCUUGGAGUUUGGUUGAAAUAUAAUUUUCAAUUGCAGACAG
Molecule: long non-coding RNA, 321 nt
Filed under: Panax ginseng (ginseng)
Lineage: Eukaryota; Viridiplantae; Streptophyta; Magnoliopsida; Apiales; Araliaceae
Description: long non-coding RNA (PGIN_LNC015589)
Source: RNAcentral